RNAcentral lists this ribosomal RNA (460 nucleotides) under uncultured bacterium. RNAcentral describes it as "SSU rRNA". It matches the Rfam family "Bacterial small subunit ribosomal RNA", at positions 26 to 518 of the family's 1533-position model. The record is from RNAcentral.
AGAAUCAACGCUGGCGGCGUGCCUAACACAUGCAAGUCGCACGAGAAAGGGUAGCAAUACCUGAGUACAGUGGCGCACGGGUGAGUAACACGUGAAUAAUCUACCUCCGAGUGGGGAAUAACUGAGAGAAAUCUUAGCUAAUACCGCAUAAUACCCACGGGUCAAAGCAGCAAUGCGCUUGGAGAGGAGUUCGCGGCAGAUUAGUUAGUUGGCGGGGUAAUGGCCCACCAAGACGAUGAUCUGUAUCCGGCCUGAGAGGGCGCACGGACACACUGGAACUGAAACACGGUCCAGACUCCUACGGGAGGCAGCAGUGGGGAAUUUUGCGCAAUGGGGGAAACCCUGACGCAGCAACACCGCGUGGAGGAUGAAGCCCCGUUGGGGUGUAAACUCCUUUCGAUCGGGAAGAUAAUGACGGUACCGAUAUAAGAAGCCCGGCUAACUUCGCGCCAGCAGCCGC